GAGUUUGAUCGUGGCUCAGAUUGAACGCUGGCGGCAGGCCUAACACAUGCAAGUCGAGCGGAUGAAGGGAGCUUGCUCCUGGAUUCAGCGGCGGACGGGUGAGUAAUGCCUAGGAAUCUGCCUGGGUAGUGGGGAGUAACGUACCGGAACCGGGACGGCUAAUAACCGCCAUACGUCCUCGAGGGGAGGAAAGUAGGGGGAGGUCUUCGGUACCGUCCACGCUAUCAGAUGAGCCUACGGUCGGGAGUUAGUCUAG
This 256-nucleotide ribosomal RNA is filed under the name uncultured microorganism. RNAcentral's name for it is "partial 16S ribosomal RNA". It matches the Rfam family "Bacterial small subunit ribosomal RNA", at positions 9 to 253 of the family's 1533-position model. The record is from RNAcentral.